UCCUAGGUUUUUUAGCCUACAUGAUCACUUCUGUACAACACUUGGUAAUUGUCCCCAAGUAGGAGUGCUAAACAUAGCAUUAGCGCACAUGCCAUCAUAUCCUUUACUACCCUGUUACCCUCCCCUUAGUGGUUAUAAAAGCGAUUUUAUUUAAUGUACUCUAAUACGUGCAUUACCCGUCCCUUCCCAAUAGCACUGGAGGUGUUUAGGACCAAUAAUUAAGGCAGCUCUAGACUCUCCUAAUGUAUUUAAAUGGAAAAAAUCAAAGAGACAAGCAAAUAACAAAUAGGACAUUCACUUAAAAGGGUGCAAUGAAGGGCUCACUUUGACCUCAUCAUACAACAGACAAUAGCACGUCUCAAACAAUGAGAUUUCAGAUAUUUUAAUGGAUCCUAGAGCAGGAUAUCUAACUGAGCAUGAAAAACAGAAGAUAUGCAACAAUAUGUUAAAGUGAGGAAAUAGAGACCUAAUCAGUUUGCCCAUUGAUUUUAAGGCUUGAGGAAUCUUGACAAUUCACAAAUAACAAAAGCGUAGUUUUACAGUUUGUAGGAUUUCAAUCUCCCUACAGGCGUGCUUAAGCAUGUAUCAAUGAUGUCCUAUGCACAUGGUAUCUAGUCAUUAAUCAGGAGUGCAAUAAACUGG
Molecule: long non-coding RNA, 642 nt
Filed under: Nicotiana benthamiana
Lineage: Eukaryota; Viridiplantae; Streptophyta; Magnoliopsida; Solanales; Solanaceae
Description: long non-coding RNA (NBEN_LNC031356)
Source: RNAcentral